AUUUUGCAUGAAAGGAGGAAAUGUUAGAUUUCCCCCAACAAGGAUGGAAGAAGCCCUUGGGACCAUACAAUACAUACAUGGUUAAGAUACCACUACCUACUUGGUGGCAUUUAACCAUGGGUUUUC
Small nuclear RNA from Suricata suricatta (meerkat), 126 nucleotides. Lineage: Eukaryota; Metazoa; Chordata; Mammalia; Carnivora; Herpestidae. The record is from Ensembl.